Molecule: transfer RNA, 67 nt
Filed under: Ictidomys tridecemlineatus (thirteen-lined ground squirrel)
Lineage: Eukaryota; Metazoa; Chordata; Mammalia; Rodentia; Sciuridae
Description: Spermophilus tridecemlineatus (thirteen-lined ground squirrel) tRNA
Rfam family: tRNA
About the family: Transfer RNA (tRNA) molecules are approximately 80 nucleotides in length.
Source: Rfam by way of RNAcentral
GGGGUUGUGGCUCAAUGGUAGAGCACUUGCCUAGCAUGUGUGAGGCCGAGUUCGAUCCUCAACACCA